AACGAACGCUGGCGGCAUGCCUAACACAUGCAAGUCGAACGAGACCUUCGGGUCUAGUGGCGCACGGGUGCGUAACGCGUGGGAAUCUGCCCUUGGGUUCGGAAUAACUCGCCGAAAGGCGUGCUAAUACCGGAUGAUGACGUAAGUCCAAAGAUUUAUCGCCCAAGGAUGAGCCCGCGUUGGAUUAGCUAGUUGGUGAGGUAAAGGCUCACCAAGGCGACGAUCCAUAGCUGGUCUGAGAGGAUGAUCAGCCACACUGGGACUGAGACACGGCCCAGACUCCUACGGGAGGGAGCAGUGGGGAAUAUUGGACAAUGGGCGAAAGCCUGAUCCAGCAAUGCCGCGGGAGUGAUGAAGGCCUUAGGGUUGUAAAGCUCUUUUAGACGGGAUGAUAAUGACCGUACCGGGAGAAUAAGCACCGGCUAACUCCGUG
Molecule: ribosomal RNA, 433 nt
Filed under: uncultured bacterium
Lineage: Bacteria
Description: partial 16S ribosomal RNA
Rfam family: Bacterial small subunit ribosomal RNA
Source: RNAcentral